AAAAACAGAAAAAACUGAAACCAAGGAAGAUGCAGAAUGAACGGAGCUUCAACUUGGUUGGAACACAAGGAAUCAAUCCUCUGAAUUAGAACUUGGGCUUGAUUCAGGCCAACAUUAAAAACACAAUGAUUCAAUAUGAUGAUCGUUGUUUUUACAAAUACGGUACUUCAGAAAAAAAUGAAGUGGGUAAACUGCAAAAGUAGCUAUUUCUAUAGCCCUGUCUGAUUGUCCAGGUGUAUUUUAUCAUACUGAAAACUGAGGGAAGUUUCUCAUUUCCAUUGCUAAUCACAAGAUGUUUUCGAAAACAGUAUGCAUCAGUUUUCUUGCCAGCACACACCUGUAAGCGUUGCUUUAGGGUGUCUAGGAAAGAACUGUCCCGUGAUGUGGAAUGUGAGUUGAGAAACAGUAUUAGACCUCCCCUGUUGUGGGCAGGUGAGGAAGCUCAGUUUCACUACGAGCCAAAUAACAGAGUCACCUGCACGUGUUAAUCUGCAAAGCAAGAUUUGGUAAGACCAGCUGGUUUCUCUAAAUAACACAAAUACAGCAGUCACGUGUGAACAAGUGACCAUCUCCUUCGCUUGAGGGUGGAGACAGCUGAAGAGGGGCUGUACCCGAACAACUUGUGGACACUUUUUUGCUCUGCGGUUGUCUUUUAUCAAAUAAGAGAAUCAAAUUUGUUAUUACAGUGAUGCGUUCAUUUUAACGUCCUCAGGCAUCGAUUUAUGUAUGCAGUGUAUGUGACUGCACAGAAAGUGAUUCUCUAAGACCAUAUUGUAAAUGAGAUCUUUAAUACUCAAGUAGUAUUGUUGUAUUCCUCUUUAAGAAACAAACUUAUAUUUGUUAUCUGGCUUCAGCGCUUUAUCUAAACAGAGAGAAUAACUAUUUCUGAAAUGUCAAGUCAGUGGAAAUUUGAGGAGAUGAGCUUUUGGCCCAUGCAAGUAGAAAUAACUGUGAGAGCUGUAUGAGGUCUGAAUUCCUUUGUGCAAAGUCUUGCAGCGUACACAGCGUGUGUUCAGAGCUCCCCAAACUUUGUGAAAUAAUCAGCCCAAGAGAUUACCCUGUCUUGUAUGAUAGACUUGCUACGACUUCACAAAAAUGUAAAAAAAGGAUCAAAUUCAAACAAAAAAAAAAUGAAAUUUAUGUAUGUUACAUGUUAAAGAACUGCUCUAGAUUGGACUCAACUCAGAGGGAAGGUAUUUUAUUUGCAAAUCAUAUUCAGUGUUUUGUCUUUCAAAUGUUAGCGAGUUAGCCUGAGUCUGUGCAGCUGUACCCUUUACAGAAUAAUCAACUUACCUUAACAGCAAGAGUUACGUGUAUGACAUUGUUCAGGGGAGAAGAAAAAUUCCUUUUUUAAUCUCACCGUGUUGUUAAAGAAUUGGAUGAGUCUACCUCAAAGGGUAUCCUUGACAAUGGAACUGUUACAGGCUAAAAAAAAUGGUGUGGUGGUAUGGCAGUGCCACCCUUUGCUCUGCUCGUCUUUCGUGGUGUCAGCCUUCCCUCUGGUAGCAUUUGCUUACUAGGCUGAAUAUAUUGUAUGUGAUUUUAUUAACGUUUAUAUUUUUUUCUCUCUAAUGUUGUAUAAAGUUUUAAAAAGUACAGAAUAUGUUUCCUGUAUGUAACGUGUAUAUAUUUUCUUACCAUGUAAAGUUGACUUUGCAGUCCUGUAUAUUUUGAAGAAGGAAAGGGUUGGGGUCUAGAUUGACACCUCUUUUGUAUUGCAGUUCAGAACACAUUGAAACUGCUGUGCUUUUUUUUUUUUUUUUUUCCCAUACAAAGUAACCACUUUGAUACAUACUUCUAUUUAAUAGACCCGUGGAAAAUAAAACCAGACGUGGUUUUCUAAUUAAACGUCUCUGCGCAAAAUGUGUAUGCAUCAACUGUUUCACAAAAAAAUGGCUGCAGGUCCUAUUUUGGUCUUGCUGCAGACACUGUAGUUCAGAGGUUCGCAGCUGAUGAGCUUACUAUAAAUGGAGAAAGUCCUGAAGUAGUUCUCAGCUCAGCCAGUUCUGUGUUUUCAUGCUUAAUGUCUGUGUAUACAAUCUGGCAUUUCUCCUCUCUCCCCCCAUCCCCCUUUUGUCUGGACUUGCUUCCAUCUGUUUUGUAGCUGAGUAAUAAUCCCCCAGUUGCUGAAGUCUAGACGUUGGCUGAGUUGGAGCUCACCGGUGUCCCUACAGAGAUGAUCCCAAAGCAUCGCUGCGGAGUCUUAAAAGGGACUGCCGAGCUGAGUACUGCUUCAGGACCGGCAGUGAAAUAGCAAACCUGCUGCUGUUUUGUGUUUUGCUGACUCAUUUACUGGCCCCCAGCCAGAAGCUACACGCAUUGAAAAAGGCUGUUUGCACAGUAAAUGUCUUAACUGCUUUGGUUGUCUUCAGAUAAGCGUUUUUGCACUGAGGUUUAUCUUGAUAUUACGUUGGUUGUACUAAAAACCAUGUUAUCUCAUUUCACGGACAAUUAGAUGCACUUUAUUGCAGUAAUCACAGACAAAAAAUUAAAGGCUGCCUAUAAAAUAUACAUUUGUGGCUUUUCUUUUUUAUUUUUUCCUUCUGACAAGCCUCUGCGUGGCUUAAAGUUUGCUUCUAAGUUGGAGAAACCGGCCAGCACACUUCACGUUGUCACCGUUGUGUUGUGGAACUCGGUAAUGGAUGGGGAUUUCACAAGUGAUUAAUGACUCGCAGGCAGGUCUGGCUGAAG
Molecule: long non-coding RNA, 2691 nt
Filed under: Anas platyrhynchos (mallard)
Lineage: Eukaryota; Metazoa; Chordata; Aves; Anseriformes; Anatidae
Description: lncRNA (ENSAPLG00020005199.1)
Source: RNAcentral